Molecule: ribosomal RNA, 496 nt
Filed under: uncultured bacterium
Lineage: Bacteria
Description: partial 16S ribosomal RNA
Rfam family: Bacterial small subunit ribosomal RNA
Source: RNAcentral
GAUGAACGCUGGCGGCGUGCCUAAUACAUGCAAGUCGAGCGAACAGACGAGGAGCUUGCUCCUCUGACGUUAGCGGCGGACGGGUGAGUAACACGUGGAUAACCUACCUAUAAGACUGGGAUAACUUCGGGAAACCGGAGCUAAUACCGGAUAAUAUAUUGAACCGCAUGGUUCAAUAGUGAAAGACGGUUUUGCUGUCACUUAUAGAUGGAUCCGCGCCGCAUUAGCUAGUUGGUAAGGUAACGGCUUACCAAGGCAACGAUGCGUAGCCGACCUGAGAGGUUGUUCGCCCACAUUGGAACGGAGAACGGGCCCAAAUUCCUAGGGGAGGCAGCAGAGGGAAUCUUCCGCAAUGGGCGAAAGCCUGACGGAGCAACGCCGCGUGAGUGAUGAAGGUCUUCGGAUCGUAAAACUCUGUUAUUAGGGAAGAACAAAUGUGUAAGUAACUAUGCACGUCUUGACGGUACCUAAUCAGAAAGCCACGGCUAACUACGUG